RNAcentral lists this ribosomal RNA (465 nucleotides) under Vreelandella stevensii. Its description in RNAcentral is "partial 16S ribosomal RNA". It matches the Rfam family "Bacterial small subunit ribosomal RNA", at positions 338 to 795 of the family's 1533-position model. Lineage: Bacteria; Pseudomonadati; Pseudomonadota; Gammaproteobacteria; Oceanospirillales; Halomonadaceae. The record is from RNAcentral.
CCUACGGACGGCAGCAGUGGGGAAUAUUGGACAAUGGGGGCAACCCUGAUCCAGCCAUGCCGCGUGUGUGAAGAAGGCCCUCGGGUUGUAAAGCACUUUCAGUGAGGAAGAACGCCUGGUGGUUAAUACCCAUCAGGAAAGACAUCACUCACAGAAGAAGCACCGGCUAACUCCGUGCCAGCAGCCGCGGUAAUACGGAGGGUGCGAGCGUUAAUCGGAAUUACUGGGCGUAAAGCGCGCGUAGGUGGCUUGAUAAGCCGGUUGUGAAAGCCCCGGGCUCAACCUGGGAACGGCAUCCGGAACUGUCAAGCUAGAGUGCAGGAGAGGAAGGUAGAAUUCCCGGUGUAGCGGUGAAAUGCGUAGAGAUCGGGAGGAAUACCAGUGGCGAAGGCGGCCUUCUGGACUGACACUGACACUGAGGUGCGAAAGCGUGGGUAGCAAACAGGAUUAGAUACCCUGGUAGUC